UGGGGAAUUUUGGACAAUGGGCGAAAGCCUGAUCCAGCAAUGCCGCGUGUGUGAAGAAGGCCUUCGGGUUGUAAAGCACUUUUGUCCGGAAAGAAAUCCUUGGCUCUAAUACAGUCGGGGGAUGACGGUACCGGAAGAAUAAGCACCGGCUAACUACGUGCCAGCAGCCGCGGUAAUACGUAGGGUGCAAGCGUUAAUCGGAAUUACUGGGCGUAAAGCGUGCGCAGGCGGUUUGCUAAGACCGAUGUGAAAUCCCCGGGCUCAACCUGGGAACUGCAUUGGUGACUGGCAGGCUAGAGUAUGGCAGAGGGGGGUAGAAUUCCACGUGUAGCAGUGAAAUGCGUAGAGAUGUGGAGGAAUACCGAUGGCGAAGGCAGCCCCCUGGGCCAAUACUGGCGCUCAUGCACGAAAGCGUGGGGGAGCAAACAGGAUUAGAUACCCUGGUAGUCCACGCCCUAAACGAUGUCAACUAGUUGUUGGGGAUUCAUUUCCUUAGUAACGUAGCUAACGCGUGAAGUUGACCGCCUGGGGAGUACGGUCGAAGAUUAAAACUUAAAGGAAUUGACGGGGUCAUAGCUGUUUCCU
RNAcentral lists this ribosomal RNA (585 nucleotides) under uncultured bacterium. RNAcentral's name for it is "partial 16S ribosomal RNA". It matches the Rfam family "Bacterial small subunit ribosomal RNA", at positions 355 to 1375 of the family's 1533-position model. The record is from RNAcentral.